Molecule: ribosomal RNA, 927 nt
Filed under: uncultured bacterium
Lineage: Bacteria
Description: bacterial SSU rRNA
Rfam family: Bacterial small subunit ribosomal RNA
Source: RNAcentral
UCAGGGAAGAAGCUCUGACGGUACCUGAGGAAUCAGCCUCGGCUAACUCCGUGCCAGCAGCCGCGGUAAUACGGAGGAGGCAAGCGUUAUCCGGGAUUAUUGGGCGUAAAGCGUCCGCAGGUGGCGAUUCAAGUCUGCUGUCAAAGCACGGGGCUUAACUCCGUAAAGGCAGUGGAGACUGAAUAGCUAGAGUGCCGUAGGGGUAGAGGGAAUUCCCGGUGUAGCGGUGAAAUGCGUAGAGAUCGGGAAGAACAUCGGUGGCGAAAGCGCUCUACUGGACGGCAACUGACACUCAGGGACGAAAGCUAGGGGAGCGAAUGGGAUUAGAUACCCCAGUAGUCCUAGCUGUAAACGAUGGAUACUAGGUGUAGCUUGUAUCGACCCGAGCUGUGCCGAAGCUAACGCGUUAAGUAUCCCGCCUGGGGAGUACGCACGCAAGUGUGAAACUCAAAGGAAUUGACGGGGGCCCGCACAAGCGGUGGAGUAUGUGGUUUAAUUCGAUGCAACGCGAAGAACCUUACCAGGGCUUGACAUGUCCGGAACCCCGGUGAAAGCUGGGGGUGCCUUCGGGAGCCGGAACACAGGUGGUGCGUGGCUGUCGUCAGCUCGUGUCGUGAGAUGUUGGGUUAAGUCCCGCAACGAGCGCAACCCUCGUCUUUAGUUGCCAGCAUUAAGUUGGGCACUCUAGAGAGACUGCCGGUGACAAACCGGAGGAAGGUGGGGAUGACGUCAAGUCAGCAUGCCCCUUACGCUCUGGGCGACACACGUACUACAAUGGUCGGGACAGAGGGCAGCUAACCUGCGAAGGCAAGCUAAUCCCUGCAAACUCGGCCUCAGUUCAGAUCGCAGGCUGCAACUCGCCUGCGUGAAGGAGGGAUCGCUAGUAAUCGCCGGUCAGAAUACGGCGGUGAAUCCGUUCCCGGGCCU